UUACCUACGGGAGGCUGCAGUGGGGAAUUUUGGACAAUGGGGGCAACCCUGAUCCAGCCAUGCCGCGUGCGGGAAGAAGGCCUUCGGGUUGUAAACCGCUUUUAGCCGGGAAGAAAAGGCGUCCACUAACACUGGGCGUUCUUGACGGUACCGGCGGAAUAAGCACCGGCUAACUACGUGCCAGCAGCCGCGGUAAUACGGAGGGUGCGAGCGUUAAUCGGAAUUACUGGGCGUAAAGCGUGCGCAGGCGGUUCGUUAAGUUUGCGGUGAAAGCCCCGGGCUCAACCUGGGAAUGGACGUGGAAACUGGCGGGCUGGAGUGCGGCAGAGGGGGGUGGAAUUCCGCGUGUAGCAGUGAAAUGCGUAGAGAUGCGGAGGAACACCGAUGGCGAAGGCAGCCCCCUGGGCCGACACUGACGCUCAGGCACGAAAGCGUGGGGAGCAAACAGGAUUAGAUACCCUGGUAGUCAA
This 470-nucleotide ribosomal RNA is filed under the name uncultured bacterium. Its description in RNAcentral is "bacterial SSU rRNA". It matches the Rfam family "Bacterial small subunit ribosomal RNA", at positions 335 to 797 of the family's 1533-position model. The record is from RNAcentral.